AUUGAACGCUGGCGGCAUGCUUUACACAUGCAAGUCGAACGGCAGCGCGGGCUUCGGCCUGGCGGCGAGUGGCGAACGGGUGAGUAAUGCAUCGGAACGUGCCCAGUAGUGGGGGAUAGCCCGGCGAAAGCCGGAUUAAUACCGCAUACGACCUGAGGGUGAAAGCGGGGGACCGAAAGGCCUCGCGCUAUUGGAGCGGCCGAUGUCGGAUUAGCUAGUUGGUGGGGUAAAGGCUUACCAAGGCGACGAUCCGUAGCUGGUCUGAGAGGACGACCAGCCACACUGGGACUGAGACACGGCCCAGACUCCUACGGGAGGCAGCAGUGGGGAAUUUUGGACAAUGGGGGCAACCCUGAUCCAGCCAUGCCGCGUGCGGGAAGAAGGCCUUCGGGUUGUAAACCGCUUUUGUUCGGGAGAAAUCCUCUGGGCUAAUACCCCGGGGGGAUGACGGUACCGGAAGAAUAAGCACCGGCUAACUACGUG
Molecule: ribosomal RNA, 483 nt
Filed under: uncultured bacterium
Lineage: Bacteria
Description: partial 16S ribosomal RNA
Rfam family: Bacterial small subunit ribosomal RNA
Source: RNAcentral